UUUCAGAAGUCGAUAUUCUCUAUCCGUUCUUCUCAAGGCUUGAUAAAAAUAAAAAUCCAUCUAAUCAAUCUAGGUAAUUCAACAUAGUAAAAAUUUACUUUACUCUGGGGAAUAAAAUUUCUGGAACUGGCAACGCUGAUCACUAGCCACUCUAGCCAGCUGAGCAGCUGCAGAAACGAGAAACCGGAGAAACGGCAGUACGUGAGAUUUGGGUUUCAUUCGAAGAAGCGCAAGCCGAACAAGGAAGCAUUCAUUGGUGCCAUUUUGAUUUUGUCGUUUGCGCGUUGUCUCGAUCGUUUUGUGUGUUUGUGUGAGACUAACGUGUGUAUUGAUAUGGAACGAAAUAAAUUCCAGUUUGAUUACCACUUGAUUCUUGUAGCUUUUGGUGAAAGGACAAAAUAUGAAGAAGCGACAGAUGCCGAAAUAAUACAAAGUGUUACCCAUACGGAUAUGGUUUGAUGACUUCAGAUGGUGGACGGAAUAAAAAGAUUGCCAGUAGCCAACGACAAUAUCCGUUUCAAUUAUCUGCAGAUCCUGAUGACGAAGAUAAAGAAUUCGUGUAUAUUGAUACAUAUUUUAAUGUAGUUAAUGAAAAAUGAAUAAAUUUUUUUAACUGA
This is a long non-coding RNA of Coccinella septempunctata (seven-spotted ladybird), 617 nucleotides long. RefSeq lists it as uncharacterized. The transcript has 3 exons. The record is from RefSeq and is a predicted model, not a curated record. Lineage: Eukaryota; Metazoa; Arthropoda; Insecta; Coleoptera; Coccinellidae.